This 502-nucleotide ribosomal RNA is filed under the name uncultured bacterium. RNAcentral's name for it is "partial 16S ribosomal RNA". It matches the Rfam family "Bacterial small subunit ribosomal RNA", at positions 30 to 523 of the family's 1533-position model. The record is from RNAcentral.
AUUGAACGCUGGCGGCAGGCUUAACACAUGCAAGUCGAGCGGGGUGAUGGUGCUUGCACUAUCACUUAGCGGCGGACGGGUGAGUAAUGCUCAGGAAUCUGCCUAUUAGUGGGGGACAACAUCUCGAAAGGGAUGCUAAUACCGCAUACGUCCUACGGGAGAAAGCAGGGGAUCACUUGUGACCUUGCGCUAAUAGAUGAGCCUAAGUCGGAUUAGCUAGUUGGUGGGGUAAAGGCCUACCAAGGCGACGAUCUGUAGCGGGUCUGAGAGGAUGAUCCGCCACACUGGGACUGAGACACGGCCCAGACUCCUACGGGAGGCAGCAGUGGGGAAUAUUGGACAAUGGGGGGAACCCUGAUCCAGCCAUGCCGCGUGUGUGAAGAAGGCCUUAUGGUUGUAAAGCACUUUAAGCGAGGAGGAGGCUCUUUUGGUUAAUACCCAGAAUGAGUGGACGUUACUCGCAGAAUAGCACCGGCUAACCCUNUGCCAGCCGCCGCAGUAA